Molecule: long non-coding RNA, 769 nt
Organism: Uranotaenia lowii
Lineage: Eukaryota; Metazoa; Arthropoda; Insecta; Diptera; Culicidae
Exons: 3
Source: RefSeq, a predicted model, not a curated record
CGUGUAGGAUGAUAUUCGACGAACUUCCAAGCGUUGAACAGGCAUGUUGUCGGGUUUGUCAGAAUUCAAAAUUCAACUUUUGAUUGAAGAAACUGCACGGUAAUUUUGAUUUAUUCAGAGACUGAUUUGUUUCCGUUCAGGAGUCGCAUCAUGUAUGAAGAUGAAAACAACUGAGUUUAAAACCUUCAAAAUUUUGAGUUGUUUUCAUCUAGCGAGUUUCAAAUUCUGUGACUUAGCUAAGACGCACACUUUUUCGAGCGCAAACAGAUGAAAACAACUCAGAGCGGUUGAAAACAAAAUUCAUUGGUUGGACGGGGCGACGGCAGCUAUAACCAACGCAGCAGGCACUAACAAACAGAGGCUACCAGCCGCCCCAGUGACUCCAGCCAAACAUUCCCCAUGAUUCAACAACACCAUGGUGUGCCGUGUGCGGAUGCCACUUCAAGAUCCAUCCCCCCGAACUGAAAACCCCGAAGAAGAGUCAGCAGCCGACACGUUAAUGCUUUGAGUUCAUCAUCUACCUUGCAAAAACGCUCGGAAACCAGAUCUAUGGAUCCGUCGAAAGAGGACGACCAAUUUCUAAAAGACGCGGGCAGCUUGGAUAAACAACUUUGUUUGCCGGGUACUGAUUGCAGGAGACAAAAAAUUGCAACCAACAGAUAAAAUUGUAAAUGUAGGUAUAGGUUAUGUAAUUUAGGAAAAUAAAUGGUGCUCAUCCCGCAAAUGACUCGGUUUGAUAUUGAAAUCGAAAAAUUAGAUUUAUUUCUGC